UAGGGAAUCUUCCGCAAUGGGCGAAAGCCUGACGGAGCAACGCCGCGUGAGUGAUGAAGGUCUUCGGAUCGUAAAACUCUGUUAUUAGGGAAGAACAAAUGUGUAAGUAACUAUGCACGUCUUGACGGUACCUAAUCAGAAAGCCACGGCUAACUACGUGCCAGCAGCCGCGGUAAUACGUAGGUGGCAAGCGUUAUCCGGAAUUAUUGGGCGUAAAGCGCGCGUAGGCGGUUUUUUAAGUCUGAUGUGAACGCCCACGGCUCAACCGUGGAGGGUGAUUGGAAGCUGGAAAACUUGGGUGCAGAAGAGGAAAGUGGAAUUCCAUGUGUGGCGGUGAAAUGCGCAGAGAUAUGGAGGAACACCAGUGGCGAAGGCGACUUUCUGGUCUGUAACUGACGCUGAUGUGCGAAAGCGUGGGGAUCAAACAGG
This 429-nucleotide ribosomal RNA is filed under the name Actinomycetes bacterium. RNAcentral's name for it is "Actinobacteria bacterium partial 16S ribosomal RNA". It matches the Rfam family "Bacterial small subunit ribosomal RNA", at positions 355 to 776 of the family's 1533-position model. The record is from RNAcentral. Lineage: Bacteria; Bacillati; Actinomycetota; Actinomycetes.